GAUGAACGCUGGCGGCGUGCCUUACACAUGCAAGUCGAACGGUAACAGGUCUUCGGAUGCUGACGAGUGGCGAACGGGUGAGUAAUACAUCGGAACGUACCUAGUAGUGGGGGAUAACUACUCGAAAGAGUGGCUAAUACCGCAUGAGAUCUACGGAUGAAAGCAGGGGAUCGCAAGACCUUGUGCUACUAGAGCGGCCGAUGGCAGAUUAGGUAGUUGGUGGGAUAAAAGCUUACCAAGCCGACGAUCUGUAGCUGGUCUGAGGGGACGAUCAGCCACACUGGGACUGAGACACGGCCCAGACUCCUACGGGAGGCAGCAGUGGGGAAUUUUGGACAAUGGGCGAAAGCCUGAUCCAGCAAUGCCGCGUGCAGGAUGAAGGCCUUCGGGUUGUAAACUGCUUUUGUACGGAACGAAAAGCCCCGGGUUAAUACCCUGGGGUCAUGACGGUACCGUAAGAAUAAGCACCGGCUAACUACGUGCCAGCCGCCGCAGUAA
RNAcentral lists this ribosomal RNA (498 nucleotides) under uncultured bacterium. RNAcentral describes it as "partial 16S ribosomal RNA". It matches the Rfam family "Bacterial small subunit ribosomal RNA", at positions 28 to 523 of the family's 1533-position model. The record is from RNAcentral.